RNAcentral lists this ribosomal RNA (464 nucleotides) under uncultured bacterium. RNAcentral's name for it is "partial 16S ribosomal RNA". It matches the Rfam family "Bacterial small subunit ribosomal RNA", at positions 339 to 795 of the family's 1533-position model. The record is from RNAcentral.
CUACGGGACGCAGCAGUGGGGAAUAUUGGACAAUGGGGGAAACCCUGAUCCAGCAAUGCCGCGUGUGUGAAGAAGGCCUGCGGGUUGUAAAGCACUUUCGGUUGGGAGGACUGCUUCUAGCACUAAUAUUGUCGGAAGUUGACGUUACCUUCAGAAGAAGCACCGGCUAACUCCGUGCCAGCAGCCGCGGUAAUACGGAGGGUGAAGCGUUAAUCGGAAUUACUGGGCGUAAAGCGCGCGUAGGCGGCUAGAUCAGUCGGGUGUGAAAGCCCCGGGCUUAACCUGGGAACUGCAUCCGAUACUGUCUAGCUUGAGUACAGGAGAGGAGAGUGGAAUUCCACAUGUAGCGGUGAAAUGCGUAGAUAUGUGGAGGAACACCAAUGGCGAAGGCAGCUCUCUGGCCUGAUACUGACGCUGAGGUGCGAAAGCGUGGGGAGCAAACAGGAUUAGAUACCCCCGUAGUC